RNA transcript from Zea mays, 2195 nucleotides. RefSeq lists it as uncharacterized. The transcript is spliced from 7 exons. Lineage: Eukaryota; Viridiplantae; Streptophyta; Magnoliopsida; Poales; Poaceae. The record is from RefSeq and is marked validated.
ACGCAAGCGAUGUUGAUGCCUGGUCACACUACAUCAACCUUAACCAUCCUGCACCGGCUGGCAGCAAGACGAGCCCCCUCUCCUUCCGGUUCCACUUCCAUCCAUCCGCUGCCGCCGACUAGCAGACGGCUACGGCGGCGCCCGCACGCACCCUCGCGACGAUGCGGCGAGCCACACUCUCGCUCGCGCUCGGGCUCUCCCUCAUCGCCCUCCUCGCUGCCCGGGGCGCCGACGCCUCAAUCCACGAGUACGCCGGCGGCGGCUUCGCGCCGCGGGCCAACUCCUUCUUCUUCCACGGCGGGAGCGAGGGUCUCUACGCAUCCGACCUCUUAUCCAACUCCUCAUCCUUCAUCAGGUUUGACUCCAUUGUAUUUCGUCGCACCCUGGAGUCAGCGUCUAGGCAUGAGGAGAUGCAGCAAAAGACAGGAUUGGUGGAGGCUAUAAUUGUUGAGAUACAGGACAGGGACAAAAUUGGAGGUUCAUAUCUACACUCUGAUGCAAUAUGCUGCACGCCUGAGCUUGAUAAAGAGAAAUCUUGUAGAGUAGGAGAGGUGAUCAUACGUCCAAAUCCUGAGAACCCUGACUGGCCUAAGAGGAUCCAGACAUUCUUUGAUGGUAAAAAUGAAGAAACCACUAUGGUAACUCAAAUUGUAUCAAUAAACAAAACAGGGAUGUAUUACCUCUAUUUUAUGUUCUGUGAUCCUCAACUUAAGGGAUUGAAGGUUACAGGAAGAACUGUUUGGAGAAAUCCACAGGGUUACCUCCCUGGUAAAAUGGCUCCAAUGAUGACAUUUUAUGGUGUCAUGUCACUUGCAUAUCUUGCACUUGGACUUCUAUGGUUCAUUCAGUUCGUGCGAUGCUGGAAGGACAUUUUGCAGCUGCAUUACCAUAUAACAACUGUUAUUGCUCUUGGCAUGUGUGAAAUGGCUUUCUGGUAUUUUGAGUAUGCUAACUUUAAUUCAACUGGAACCAGACCUAUAGGCAUUACCUUGUGGGCAGUUACGUUUACAGCUGUGAAGAAGACUGUUUCUCGUUUUCUUCUAUUAGUAGUUUCGAUGGGCUAUGGUGUUGUUCUACCCACAUUGGGUGGCAUAACAUCAAGAGUUGCUGCUCUUGGUUUCAUAUAUUUUGUUGCUUCAGAAGCUCUUGAACUAGUUGAAAAUCUGGGAAAUAUCAAUGACUUCUCUGGAAAGACAAGGCUAUUCCUAGUGCUGCCUGUUGCUGUACUUGAUGCUACCUUUAUCAUCUGGAUAUUUUCAUCCCUCUCUAGAACUUUGGAGAAGCUGCAGCUGCGGAGAAGCAUGGCAAAACUUGAAUUAUAUCGGAAGUUUACAAAUUCUCUGGCUGUGUCAGUGCUUAUCUCAAUCGCUUGGAUUGGCUAUGAGCUAUAUUUCAAUGCAACUGACCCAUUGAGUGAACUUUGGCAACGGGCUUGGAUCAUCCCCUCCUUUUGGAAUGUGCUUUCAUAUGCCCUCCUCGUGAUCAUAUGCAUCCUUUGGUCACCAUCUCGCAAUCCAACAGGGUGGUUGCUUUUAGCAAUAGCACAAGCAUAUAUUCUGAAACAGAUUUACAAUCAUAUUCUUUACAAUAUUCAUAAUGAAUUUUGCUGUAAAGCAACUUCUAUGAUCCUUGAAGAUGUUCCCUGUUCAACUAUAUAUUAAUCCAUUUAAUCUUCGGAGAUGAAUAUUUCAUGUUGAGAAUUAAUUUCAGUUUGCCUAUUCAGAGGAUGCAGGUGAGGGAGCUGAUGAGGAAGGGCUCUCUCUAGUAGGCAGUGCAGUGAAAGGAACUGGGGAUAUGGUAAACAUGCAUAUCUUUCCGGAGGAUAAGCGUGCAUGAUAAAUUUUGGUCUGAAUUCAGCUGUACUCCUGGCAGAAUGCUAUGUGAAGUACCCUUUUCCUCUGGAUUCACGACUAGCUGACAUCUUCUAAAGCAGUAAAGCUUGCGUAAGAUUCCAGAUGUACAGUUGGUGACUUGUGUUGAACGAUUUGACCAAGAGAUUUUUACUUGUCCAGUUGUGACUACUCAAAUACAAGGUCGGCACAAUAAACUGUCACUUUGAGAGCAUAAGAGAUUAGUCUUCAUAAUCCUUGUGAUGGUGAUGUAACUCGUAGGCGGUUGUAUGUAUCAUUACCGGAGCUGAAAUGUAUCGUGGAUCUAAUGAUUUAUUUGCGAUUGAUUAUGCACUUGUAUUAUUA